UACGUAGGCGGAAAAUUAAGUCAGUAGUGAAAUCCUGCAGCUUAACUGUAGAACUGUUAUUGAUACUGGUUUUCUUGAAUAUAGUUGAGGUAGGUGGAAUGUGUAAUGUAGCGGUGAAAUGCUUAGAUAUUACACAGAACACCGAUUGCGAAGGCAGCUUACUAAGCUAUGAUUGACGCUGAGGUACGAAAGCGUGGGGAGCGAACAGGAUUAGAUACCCUGGUAGUCC
Molecule: ribosomal RNA, 229 nt
Filed under: uncultured bacterium
Lineage: Bacteria
Description: partial 16S ribosomal RNA
Rfam family: Bacterial small subunit ribosomal RNA
Source: RNAcentral